RNAcentral lists this ribosomal RNA (429 nucleotides) under Acidobacteriota bacterium. RNAcentral's name for it is "Acidobacteria bacterium partial 16S ribosomal RNA". It matches the Rfam family "Bacterial small subunit ribosomal RNA", at positions 355 to 776 of the family's 1533-position model. The record is from RNAcentral. Lineage: Bacteria; Pseudomonadati; Acidobacteriota.
UGGGGAAUUUUGGACAAUGGGGGAAACCCUGAUCCAGCCAUCCCGCGUGUGCGAUGAAGGCCUUCGGGUUGUAAAGCACUUUUGGCAGGAAAGAAACGUCAUGGGUUAAUACCCCGUGAAACUGACGGUACCUGCAGAAUAAGCACCGGCUAACUACGUGCCAGCAGCCGCGGUAAUACGUAGGGUGCAAGCGUUAAUCGGAAUUACUGGGCGUAAAGCGUGCGCAGGCGGUUCGGAAAGAAAGAUGUGAAAUCCCAGAGCUCAACUUUGGAACUGCGUUUUUACGUACCGUGCUAGAGUGUGUCGGGGGGGGGUGGAAUUCCGCGUGUAGCAGUGAAAUGCGUAGAUAUGCGGAGGAACACCGGUGGAGAAGGCAGCCGCCUGGGCUAACAAUGACGCUCAUGCACGAAAGCGUGGGGAGCAAACAGG